Molecule: transfer RNA, 78 nt
Filed under: Bacillota bacterium
Lineage: Bacteria; Bacillati; Bacillota
Also listed under: 1 other name
Description: Firmicutes bacterium (anaerobic digester metagenome) tRNA-Thr
Rfam family: tRNA
About the family: Transfer RNA (tRNA) molecules are approximately 80 nucleotides in length. Their secondary structure includes four short double-helical elements and three loops (D, anti-codon, and T loops).
Source: RNAcentral
GCCCGUAUAGCUCAGCCGAGGCAGAGCGCACCCUUGGUAAGGGUGAGGUCGCCGGUUCGACUCCGGCUACGGGCUCCA